Molecule: ribosomal RNA, 370 nt
Filed under: uncultured organism
Description: bacterial SSU rRNA
Rfam family: Bacterial small subunit ribosomal RNA
Source: RNAcentral
CGUAGGGUGCAAGCGUUAAUCGGAAUUACUGGGCGUAAAGCGUGCGCAGGCGGUUUUGUAAGACAGGCGUGUAAUCCCCGGGCUCAACCUGGGAAUUGCGCUUGUGACUGCAAAGCUGGAGUGCGGCAGAGGGGGAUGGAAUUCCGCGUGUAGCAGUGAAAUGCGUAGAUAUGCGGAGGAACACCGAUGGCGAAGGCAAUCCCCUGGGCCUGCACUGACGCUCAUGCACGAAAGCGUGGGGAGCAAACAGGAUUAGAUACCCUGGUAGUCUACGCCCUAAACGAUGUCAACUGGUUGUUGGGUCUCUUCUGACUCAGUAACGAAGCUAACGCGUGAAGUUGACCGCCUGGGGAGUACGGCCGCAAGGUUG